This 312-nucleotide ribosomal RNA is filed under the name uncultured Streptococcus sp. RNAcentral's name for it is "bacterial SSU rRNA". It matches the Rfam family "Bacterial small subunit ribosomal RNA", at positions 1072 to 1382 of the family's 1533-position model. Lineage: Bacteria; Bacillati; Bacillota; Bacilli; Lactobacillales; Streptococcaceae. The record is from RNAcentral.
AUGUUGGGUUAAGUACCCGCAACCGAGACGCAACCCCUAUUGUUAGUUGCCAUCAUUCAGUUGGGCACUCUAGCGAGACUGCCGGUAAUAAACCGGAGGAAGGUGGGGAUGACGUCAAAUCAUCAUGCCCCUUAUGACCUGGGCUACACACGUGCUACAAUGGUUGGUACAACGAGUUGCGAGUCGGUGACGGCGAGCUAAUCUCUUAAAGCCAAUCUCAGUUCGGAUUGUAGGCUGCAACUCGCCUACAUGAAGUCGGAAUCGCUAGUAAUCGCGGAUCAGCACGCCGCGGUGAAUACGUUCCCGGGCCUU